Molecule: non-coding RNA, 941 nt
Organism: Punica granatum (pomegranate)
Lineage: Eukaryota; Viridiplantae; Streptophyta; Magnoliopsida; Myrtales; Lythraceae
Source: RefSeq, a predicted model, not a curated record
CGUUAGGGUAGGAUUCGGGUAGCUCAUAUUGAAAAUAGGAUACGAUUCGGGUAUCAAAAUAAGGAACCGGUAAAAUUCGGUUCCGGUUCCGAUUCCAACCUACAGGGUACCCAGAAUCGAAACCGAAACCGAAUGAUAAUUACUAAAAAAAAAAGAAAAAAAAGAAAGGUAAAGUUAGUAUGUAUUACAGACUAACAGAGUCGGGAAGAUUGAAGACAGGAAAGAAGAGCGAAGAGGAACCCUAAAUCGCAAAUCGUCAUCGUCUUCGACUCCAGUUCCUCUCGUCUCCGACUCCAGUUCCUCUCGUCUCCGACUCUCCACUCCAGCUCCUAUCCGUCGGUCGCAUCUCGUCUCUGACUCUCCACUCCGGCUCUCUUUCCCACUGAGCUUCUUUUCUACUCCAAAUCCGUCACUCUCGACUCCGACUCUCCACUCCGGCUCCUCUCUGUCGCUCUCGUCUCCGACUCUCCUUCAAGCUCCCUUUCCCCGCCUACAGCAGAGCAUGUCAAACAAAAUCACUACCUGGAGGUGAUUCCCAGGAGGCUGAUAUAGCUCACGGCUGUUCACAGCCAGCGCAGCUAACAGGGUUGGCUUCAUAGGAGAUUGCCAUAUAUCAGCAGACUGUAGACAUCAAAAUGUGGCAAUUUUCUCCAUUGGUGCAGCAACAAUAGACAAAGUUGGUCAGGGACUUUACAAUUCCCCUCCCCUGCCUAUCAGAUGAGAUCUUCUGAGUUAUCUUUUUCUAAUCCUAUAUUUUUUCUCAAGAUUAAAGUGUGAUUUUUCUGCUUUUGGAUAGAUAAAAUUUUUAGUUCAUGGACCGUAUUAAUCCAUUAUGGACGUAUUGUAAGGAAAUAUUACAUUUUGUUGUGUAAAAUCGUAUUAUAGAUAUUUAGUUUUGUGGAUGGAUUAAUGAGACAUUAUUUUUUAUUGUUGUGGAUUAA